Molecule: long non-coding RNA, 2243 nt
Filed under: Nicotiana tabacum (common tobacco)
Lineage: Eukaryota; Viridiplantae; Streptophyta; Magnoliopsida; Solanales; Solanaceae
Description: long non-coding RNA (NTAB_LNC006227)
Source: RNAcentral
ACACCCAAAGCCUUGCAUGAUCAUACGCAAACAGUAAAACUUGCGUAAACACUUAAAUUCAAAAAGACGCAAAGAGCAAACUUGCGCAAAUGUUUAAACAAAAGUACGCAGAAAGGGAAACUUAUACGAUACUUGAACGAAAAGGUGUUUACACACUACAAGAAAAAAGAGAUAUUGUGGCAUUUUUAUUACGGCGGUUUCUAAUAACUGCCACAAUACACGUUAUAUUACGUCGGUUUCUUAAUCGCCACAAUAAGUUAUUUUAAAACGGCGGUACAAAUUUUGAUCCUACGAGCUUUUUGACUAUUUUUCAGCAAAUCAGAAUUCCCUCCCCCAAAUUAAAUUCCCUCUCACUUCCCACAAAUUAGACGGACACACACACACUCUCUCCUCCUACUCUCACAAUUUGGCGAAACCCUAGGUUUUAAGCGCCUCACCUCAUCUUACGGUUGGAGAAAACAAAGAUUUGUUGCGGAUUGCAAAUAGGUAUAUCAACACUUAUCUUCUAAUUUCCCAGAUCUGUACGUGUUAUAUAUUUCCUAAUAUGGUAGAGAUUAUCCUAUGCAUGAGACACUUGAAAAUCCCUUUUUGCGUUUGUGAACAGUAUUAUGUAUUGUGUUGGUUUGUUUGUUCGUUUGUGAAACAUAUGUUGGAAUUUUUGUCUCUUAGUUAAGUGUGUGUGAUUCAUGUGAAUUUUGGUGUGUUGCUCAUUUUUGGGCAUUGCUGAUUAUAAAUUGUGUAAAUUGCAGCAACAGUUGAAGAUGUGCAUAUAAACUGUUUGAUAAAAAUCCUAAGUGACUGCCUUAAGUUAGUUUAAAAUUAUUUGAUGAUUAAGUGUCUGAUGCAAGUAUGCUUGGCUAUUUUCUGCUUAAGCAAUUCGAUUCGAUUGACAUGGUCUAUUAUUGACCAUGUUUUACUCUAAAAUUAAUUUUGUUACAUAUAGUGUCUAUGACUAGGCGUCCAAUGAACUUUAUUAUGUGAUGGUGCAUUUAUGCCGAUAUUUUGAAGAAAUUAAUUCCUUUUGAAUAUUUGUCUUUGUGCUUUGGCAAUUGCAUUCCACUACACAUGCUCAUCAUGCAAUUCCAGAAUGAAAGGUGAUGAUGUUUGUGUGCUAAAUCUUUGUGCUUCACAUCUUUGCAAUAGGCUGAAUGUUGAGCAAAAAAAACUAAUGAAGGCUAAAAUAGUUCAGUUAUAAAAUAGUCUGUUUGAAAGCUAAUUCAUGACCUGUAAAGGUACUUGCAAAUAGUUGGAUAGCACAAGCACUUCAGAUUUAGUAACUGAAAACCUUUGUAACACUUUGUUCAUAUUGAUAAGGUUAUAUAAAGAUUACUGACUAUUAUAGGAAAGGCAUUGGCAAGCCUAAGGAAGUUUAUUGCUAAUUUAAUUCGCAGAGUACAGAGGUAUUGCCAUAGAUUAAUAGGUAUGUAUGUUAAUUAUCACUUGGAAUAUUCCACAAAGGUACUUACUAAAUGUACAUUCUUUAGAUAUUUAUAAAUAUUUUGCUCUUAUGUUAAAGAAAUUCACCUAUUUGAAUUUGCAGGACUAGGAGCUUUGCAAGAGGACUCAAUUGGUUCAAUGAAAACAAGCUAUUCGUCAUCUGGUGAUGUUAUGAGUUUGGCUAGAAGGACUAAUAUGGUAGUGUAAUACGAUGUGCUUAGUGAUCAAUUCUAAAGAUAAAAUACAUCCUUAAUUAGGUGCUAAUGUUUUACAUCGUGAAAAUUUCAGAAAUUAGACACCAGGGAAAGAUAUUGAUCGAGGCGAAUAUUGGAUUGGAACUCAUAAGCGGCCAGAUGGGAGUUAUGUGAAUGAAGAGGCUAGAGAAAUUGUACUAAAUAGUAGGUUGAUUGCUUGUAUUUUUUAGUUAUGAUAUUUAUCAUAUAAUAAUAGACUAUUUGUAUAAGAUUUAAGUAUUCUUUUAUCUUUCGUUUUGGAGAAAAUUGAAGGAUAGUGUUCGAGGUUAGACUUGGGUGCAGUUUUGACUGUAGUAUUCGAGCAAACUUCUAUACGACUUAGUCUUUGGAGAUAUCCCCGAGUAGUUAGCUGGCUUAUUUCCUACUGCUCCACAGGUAUAGUACUCAUCUUUUCUUAUUUUCUUUUCUGCUGGGGCUUGAAAUAUACACUCUUGACGCUACUAGCUCUUUGUAUGUGUGUUAAGGAAAACUAAUAUUGAAGGAUCUAAUAGUGUAUGAGUUAACUGAACGAGUAUACUUUUAGAAGUUGCAUGACAUAUACUUGAUAAAGGA